Aotus nancymaae (Ma's night monkey) is the source of this 134-nucleotide small nucleolar RNA. NCBI's taxonomy places the organism in Eukaryota, Metazoa, Chordata, Mammalia, Primates, Aotidae. The record is from Ensembl.
AUACAUCUAUUUGACAGACCUGGUGCAAUUACUGUGUGCUGCUAAGGUUCUCACUGCAGAUGCAAGAAAAAAGUGUCUUUGUACUUUCUGUCUGUCUUAUUGUGGCAGCCAAGAUUGAAUAGACAAAAACAGAG